This 226-nucleotide ribosomal RNA is filed under the name uncultured bacterium. Its description in RNAcentral is "partial 16S ribosomal RNA". It matches the Rfam family "Bacterial small subunit ribosomal RNA", at positions 111 to 334 of the family's 1533-position model. The record is from RNAcentral.
UAACACGUGAGCAACCUUCCGAAAUAUGGGGGAGUAGCCGGCCUAACCGGCCGACGUAAUACCGCAUACGCUCUCGAUGAGGCAUUUCAUUGAGAGGAAACCUCCGGGGUAUUUCGAGGGGCUCGCGGCCUAUCAGCUAGUUGGCGAGGUAACGGCUCACCAAGGCAACGACGGGUAGCUGGUCUGAGAGGAUGGCCAGCCACAUUGGGACUGAGAUACGGCCCAG